AACAGAAACCCUAGUCUAAAAAAGGUAAAAAACAGAAACCAAUUUAGUUCAAGUCUUAAACAGUAGUGAACAAGAGGAAGUGCUCUGCUACUUUGUACAAUAGUUA
This is a non-coding RNA of Chelonoidis abingdonii (Abingdon island giant tortoise), 106 nucleotides long. The record is from RefSeq and is a predicted model, not a curated record. Lineage: Eukaryota; Metazoa; Chordata; Testudines; Testudinidae.